UGGGGCCUCCUCGAGGGUGCACGGGGGUCUCUUGUGAGGUGUGGGGCCCCCUUGAGGUGAAUGAGGGACUCCUAUGAGGGAUGGGCUCCUCCCUUGAGGUGCAUGGGAGACUCCUGUGGGGGUUGGGACUCCCUUGGGAUGAAUGGGGAUCUCCUGUGAAGGAUGGUGUCCCCCUGAGGUGCAUGGAGGUCUCCUGUGAGGAUUGGGGCCCUCUUGGGGUGAAUGAGGAACUCAUGUAACAGUUGAGGUUCCCUUGAGGUGCAUGGGGGUCACCUGUGAGGGUUGGGGCUUCCUUGAGUUGAAGGGGGGGUUUCCUGUGAGUUUGGGGCUCCCUUGGGAUAAAUGGGGGUCUCCUGUGAAGGAUGGGCUUCCCUGGAGGUGCAUGG
Long non-coding RNA from Lagopus muta (rock ptarmigan), 386 nucleotides. RefSeq lists it as uncharacterized. The record is from RefSeq and is a predicted model, not a curated record. NCBI's taxonomy places the organism in Eukaryota, Metazoa, Chordata, Aves, Galliformes, Phasianidae. The transcript is spliced from 3 exons.